RNAcentral lists this ribosomal RNA (497 nucleotides) under uncultured bacterium. RNAcentral's name for it is "partial 16S ribosomal RNA". It matches the Rfam family "Bacterial small subunit ribosomal RNA", at positions 28 to 507 of the family's 1533-position model. The record is from RNAcentral.
GAUGAACGCUGGCGGCGUGCCUAAUACAUGCAAGUCGAGCGAACGGACGAGAAGCUUGCUUCUCUGAUGUUAGCGGCGGACGGGUGAGUAACACGUGGAUAACCUACCUAUAAGACUGGGAUAACUUCGGGAAACCGGAGCUAAUACCGGAUAAUAUUUUGAACCGCAUGGUUCAAAAGUGAAAGACGGUCUUGCUGUCACUUAUAGAUGGAUCCGCGCUGCAUUAGCUAGUUGGUAAGGUAACGGCUUACCAAGGGAAGGAUGCAUAGCCGACCUGAGAGGGUGAUCGGCCACACUGGAACGGGGACACCGUCCAGACUCCUACGGGAGGCAGCAGUAGGGAAUCUUCCGCAAUGGGCGAAAGCCUGACGGAGCAACGCCGCGUGAGUGAUGAAGGUCUUCGGAUCGUAAAACUCUGUUAUUAGGGAAUAACAUAUGUGUAAGUAACUGUGCACAUCUUGACGGUAACUAAUCAGAAAGCAACGGCUAACUACGUG